RNAcentral lists this ribosomal RNA (502 nucleotides) under uncultured bacterium. Its description in RNAcentral is "bacterial SSU rRNA". It matches the Rfam family "Bacterial small subunit ribosomal RNA", at positions 28 to 490 of the family's 1533-position model. The record is from RNAcentral.
GACGAACGCUGGCGGCGUGCCUAAUACAUGCAAGUCGAACGCACUCUCGUUUAGAUUGAAGGAGCUUGCUCCUGAUUGAUAAACACUUGAGUGAGUGGCGGACGGGUGAGUAACACGUGGGUAACCUGCCCUAAAGUGGGGGAUAACAUUUGGAAACAGAUGCUAAUACCGCAUAAAACCCAGCACCGCAUGGAGUAGGGUUGAAAGAUGGUUUCGGCUAUCACUUUAGGAUGGACCCGCGGUGCAUUAGUUAGUUGGUGAGGUAAAGGCUCACCAAGACCGUGAUGCAUAGCCGACCUGAGAGGGUAAUCGGCCACACUGGGACUGAGACACGGCCCAGACUCCUACGGGAGGCAGCAGUAGGGAAUCUUCCACAAUGGACGAAAGUCUGAUGGAGCAACGCCGCGUGAGUGAAGAAGGUUUUCGGAUCGUAAAACUCUGUUGUUGGAGAAGAAUGUAUCUGAUAGUAACUGAUCAGGUAUGACGGUAUCCAACCAGAAAG